ACGAACGCUGGCGGCAGGCCUAACACAUGCAAGUCGAACGCCGUAGCAAUACGGAGUGGCAGACGGGUGAGUAACACGUGGGAACGUACCCUUCGGUUCGGAAUAACUCAGGGAAACUUGAGCUAAUACCGGAUACGUCCGUAAGGAGAAAGAUUUAUCGCCGAGGGAUCGGCCCGCGUCUGAUUAGCUUGUUGGUGAGGUAACGGCUCACCAAGGCGACGAUCAGUAGCUGGUCUGAGAGGAUGAUCAGCCACAUUGGGACUGAGACACGGCCCAAACUCCUACGGGAGCAGCAGUGGGGAAUAUUGGACAAUGGGCGCAAGCCUGAUCCAGCCAUGCCGCGUGAGUGAUGAAGGCCUUAGGGUUGUAAAGCUCUUUUACUCGGGAAGAUAAUGACGGUACCGAGAGAAUAAGCCCCGGCUAACUUCGUGCCAGCAGCCGCCGUAAG
This 448-nucleotide ribosomal RNA is filed under the name uncultured bacterium. RNAcentral's name for it is "bacterial SSU rRNA". It matches the Rfam family "Bacterial small subunit ribosomal RNA", at positions 29 to 524 of the family's 1533-position model. The record is from RNAcentral.